Molecule: ribosomal RNA, 120 nt
Filed under: Carlito syrichta (Philippine tarsier)
Lineage: Eukaryota; Metazoa; Chordata; Mammalia; Primates; Tarsiidae
Source: RNAcentral
GUCUACUGUCAUACCACCCUGCAUGCACCUGAUCUUGUCUGAUCUUGGAAGCCAAGCAGGUUUGGUAUUUGGUUAGUACUUGGAUGGGAGACUACCUGGGAAUACCGGGUGCUGUAGACU